UGGAUCCAGACUUUGAUUAUGGCUCAGGAUGAACGCUAGCUACAGGCUUAACACAUGCAAGUCGAGGGGAAACGAUAUUGGAAGCUUGCUUCCGAUAGGCGUCGACCGGCGCACGGGUGAGUAACACGUAUCCAACCUGCCCAUCACUUGGGGAUAACCUUGCGAAAGUAAGACUAAUACCCAAUGACGUCCAUAGAAGACAUCUGAAAUGGAUUAAAGAUUCAUCGGUGAUGGAUGGGGAUGCGUCUGAUUAGCUUGUUGGCGGGGUAACGGCCCACCAAGGCGACGAUCAGUAGGGGUUCUGAGAGGAAGGUCCCCCACAUUGGAACUGAGACACGGUCCAAACUCCUACGGGAGGCAGCAGUGAGGAAUAUUGGUCAAUGGGCGAGAGCCUGAACCAGCCAAGUGGCGUGCAGGAUGACGGCCCUAUGGGUUGUAAACUGCUUUUAUAAGGGAAUAAAGUGAGUCUCGUGAGACUUUUUGCAUGUACCUUAUGAAUAA
This 501-nucleotide ribosomal RNA is filed under the name uncultured Bacteroidota bacterium. RNAcentral's name for it is "bacterial SSU rRNA". It matches the Rfam family "Bacterial small subunit ribosomal RNA", at positions 1 to 489 of the family's 1533-position model. Lineage: Bacteria; Pseudomonadati; Bacteroidota. The record is from RNAcentral.